Molecule: ribosomal RNA, 466 nt
Filed under: uncultured bacterium
Lineage: Bacteria
Description: partial 16S ribosomal RNA
Rfam family: Bacterial small subunit ribosomal RNA
Source: RNAcentral
GACGAACGCUGGCGGCGUGCUUAACACAUGCAAGUCGAACGGAAAGGCCCUGCUUGCAGGGUACUCGCGUGGCGCACGGGUGAGUAACACGUGGGUGUUCUGCCCUGCACUUCGGGAUAAGCUUGGGAAACUGGGUCUAAUACCGGAUAGGACCGCACUUUCGUGUGUGUGGUGGAAAGUUUUUUCGGUGUAGGAUGAGCUCGCGGCCUAUCAGCUUGUUGGUGGGGUAAUGGCCUACCAAGGCGGCGACGGGUAGCCGGCCUGCGAGGGUGUACGGCCACAUUGGGACUGAGAUACGGGCCAGACUCCGACGGGAGGCAGCAGUGGGGAAUAUUGCACAAUGGGCGCAAGCCUGAUGCAGCGACGCCGCGUGGGGGAUGAAGGCCUUCGGGUUGUAAACUCCUGUCGCUAGGGACGAAGCGUUGUUGUGACGGUACCUAGAUAAGAAGCACCGGCUAACUACGUG